This 464-nucleotide ribosomal RNA is filed under the name Vreelandella stevensii. Its description in RNAcentral is "partial 16S ribosomal RNA". It matches the Rfam family "Bacterial small subunit ribosomal RNA", at positions 338 to 795 of the family's 1533-position model. The record is from RNAcentral. Lineage: Bacteria; Pseudomonadati; Pseudomonadota; Gammaproteobacteria; Oceanospirillales; Halomonadaceae.
CCUACGGGGGCAGCAGUGGGGAAUAUUGGACAAUGGGCGAAAGCCUGAUCCAGCCAUGCCGCGUGUGUGAAGAAGGCCUUCGGGUUGUAAAGCACUUUCAGUGGGGAAGAAAGCCUUGGGGCUAAUACCCUCGAGGAAGGACAUCACCCACAGAAGAAGCACCGGCUAACUCCGUGCCAGCAGCCGCGGUAAUACGGAGGGUGCGAGCGUUAAUCGGAAUUACUGGGCGUAAAGCGCGCGUAGGCGGUCUGAUAAGCCGGUUGUGAAAGCCCCGGGCUCAACCUGGGAACGGCAUCCGGAACUGUCAGGCUAGAGUACAGGAGAGGAAGGUAGAAUUCCCGGUGUAGCGGUGAAAUGCGUAGAGAUCGGGAGGAAUACCAGUGGCGAAGGCGGCCUUCUGGACUGACACUGACGCUGAGGUGCGAAAGCGUGGGUAGCAAACAGGAUUAGAUACCCUAGUAGUC